UACGAAGGGGGCGAGCGUUGUUCGGAAUCACUGGGCUUAAAGCGUGCGUAGGCGGGAAUGCAAGUCAGAAGUGAAAGCCCAGGGCUUAACCUUGGAACUGCUUUUGAAACUGCAUUUCUAGAAACCGGGAGAGGUUGGCGGAAUUCCGAGUGUAGAGGUGAAAUUCGCAGAUAUUCGGAGGAACACCAGUGGCGAAGGCGGCCAACUGGCCCGGUCUUGACGCUGAGGCACGAAAGCAUGGGGAGCAAACAGG
This 253-nucleotide unclassified non-coding RNA is filed under the name uncultured Alphaproteobacteria bacterium. RNAcentral describes it as "contains 16S-23S intergenic spacer region". It matches the Rfam family "Bacterial small subunit ribosomal RNA", at positions 524 to 776 of the family's 1533-position model. Lineage: Bacteria; Pseudomonadati; Pseudomonadota; Alphaproteobacteria. The record is from RNAcentral.